Molecule: long non-coding RNA, 618 nt
Filed under: Mustela putorius furo (domestic ferret)
Lineage: Eukaryota; Metazoa; Chordata; Mammalia; Carnivora; Mustelidae
Description: lncRNA (ENSMPUG00000027315.1)
Source: RNAcentral
CUGAAACCUUAGUGGCUUAAAAUAGCAAGCUUUUCAUUGUCUGUGAUUCUGUGGCUCCGUGGGGACAGCUGUCUCUGCUUCACACGGGGUUAUAGGGGGCCUCCUUAUGUGACUGCCUUCAGCUGAGAUCAGGGCUGGGUGGGAAAGUCCCAGAAGUCUCCACCCACAAGCCUGGGGCAUCUUGGUCCCCACUAGGUGGCAUGUCUCUCCAGCAGGGUAGCCUGAGCUGCCUUCUGUGAAGGCUCAGGGCAGCACAGAAGGGAAAGCAGAAGAUGCUGGGCCUCUCCAGGUCUAGCCCAGAACGCCUACAGUCAUUUCCACUACAUUUUCUCGGCCAAACUCAAGGGCUCUUUCCAAGGCUUUGGCAUGUUCCAGAAAAUGUAGCCUCUGACCUUCUAAGUCACCAGGGCCUUCCAGCUCCCAAGCGAGCCCAGCUUGCAGAGUCUCAGCAUAUAAUGAAAAAUCGGUGAGAAACCCAAUCUGGGGCUAUCAGGUGGAGCGUUCAGCCCUCGGCCCCCUUGUCCCCCCGACAGGCUGGACCCCUUUCCCUUCUCACACAUGGCUCAUUCCCAGCACCAGUUGGAUCCUCCCAGCUGAAAAAUAAAAGUCCUUCAAACA